Molecule: ribosomal RNA, 819 nt
Filed under: Escherichia coli
Lineage: Bacteria; Pseudomonadati; Pseudomonadota; Gammaproteobacteria; Enterobacterales; Enterobacteriaceae
Description: partial 23S ribosomal RNA
Rfam family: Bacterial large subunit ribosomal RNA
Source: RNAcentral
GGGACACGUGGUAUCCUGUCUGAAUAUGGGGGGACCAUCCUCCAAGGCUAAAUACUCCUGACUGACCGAUAGUGAACCAGUACCGUGAGGGAAAGGCGAAAAGAACCCCGGCGAGGGGAGUGAAAAAGAACCUGAAACCGUGUACGUACAAGCAGUGGGAGCCUCUUUAUGGGGUGACUGCGUACCUUUUGUAUAAUGGGUCAGCGACUUAUAUUCUGUAGCAAGGUUAACCGAAUAGGGGAGCCGAAGGGAAACCGAGUCUUAACUGGGCGUUAAGUUGCAGGGUAUAGACCCGAAACCCGGUGAUCUAGCCAUGGGCAGGUUGAAGGUUGGGUAACACUAACUGGAGGACCGAACCGACUAAUGUUGAAAAAUUAGCGGAUGACUUGUGGCUGGGGGUGAAAGGCCAAUCAAACCGGGAGAUAGCUGGUUCUCCCCGAAAGCUAUUUAGGUAGCGCCUCGUGAAUUCAUCUCCGGGGGUAGAGCACUGUUUCGGCAAGGGGGUCAUCCCGACUUACCAACCCGAUGCAAACUGCGAAUACCGGAGAAUGUUAUCACGGGAGACACACGGCGGGUGCUAACGUCCGUCGUGAAGAGGGAAACAACCCAGACCGCCAGCUAAGGUCCCAAAGUCAUGGUUAAGUGGGAAACGAUGUGGGAAGGCCCAGACAGCCAGGAUGUUGGCUUAGAAGCAGCCAUCAUUUAAAGAAAGCGUAAUAGCUCACUGGUCGAGUCGGCCUGCGCGGAAGAUGUAACGGGGCUAAACCAUGCACCGAAGCUGCGGCAGCGACGCUUAUGCGUUGUUGGGUAGGGGAGCGU